AACCUGUGUGGGGCCCUCGACCAUAAUGCUGGUGGCUGAGUACUCAUCACUGUCCACAGGAGCUCUGCUGCCAAAACUAGGUCCACUCACUCACCCUACGUACAUUAAGCAUUGACCUGAUGGCAGAAGUGGCCGGGGUUGUAGGAACAAAGACAUGCUAAGACAAGAAUCCUACUGCAGAAAGGGGUCUGUGAGCCCAUGCUGAUCUCCAUGGCCUCAUUGGCUGCACCAUGGCAGGCACGAGGUGUUGGUGAAGUCCCUCUAGAGAGCAGCCCUGAAGUCCUCCUUUACUCUGCAGAACCUGCUCAUCAAGCACUCGACAA
RNAcentral lists this long non-coding RNA (323 nucleotides) under Homo sapiens (human). RNAcentral's name for it is "HSALNT0199181". The record is from RNAcentral. Lineage: Eukaryota; Metazoa; Chordata; Mammalia; Primates; Hominidae.